Molecule: ribosomal RNA, 767 nt
Filed under: uncultured bacterium
Lineage: Bacteria
Description: bacterial SSU rRNA
Rfam family: Bacterial small subunit ribosomal RNA
Source: RNAcentral
GACGAACGCUGGCGGCGUGCUAAUACAUGCAAGUCGAGCGAAGUUUUUCUGGUGCUUGCACUAGAAAAACUUAGCGGCGAACGGGUGAGUAACACGUAAAGAACCUGCCUCAUAGACUGGGACAACUAUUGGAAACGAUAGCUAAUACCGGAUAACAGCAUUAACUGCAUGGUUGAUGUUUAAAAGUUGGUUAUGCUAACACUAUGAGAUGGCUUUGCGGUGCAUUAGCUAGUUGGUGGGGUAAAGGCCCACCAAGGCGACGAUGCAUAGCCGACCUGAGAGGGUGAUCGGCCACACUGGGACUGAGACACGGCCCAGACUCCUACGGGAGGCAGCAGUAGGGAAUCUUCCGCAAUGGGCGAAAGCCUGACGGAGCAACGCCGCGUGAGUGAAGAAGGAUUUCGGUUCGUAAAGCUCUGUUGUUAGGGAAGAAUGGAUAUGUAGUAACUAUACAUGUAAGAGACGGUACCUAACCAGAAAGCCACGGCUAACUACGUGCCAGCAGCCGCGGUAAUACGUAGGUGGCAAGCGUUGUCCGGAAUUAUUGGGCGUAAAGCGCGCGCAGGUGGUUUAAUAAGUCUGAUGUGAAAGCCCACGGCUCAACCGUGGAGGGUCAUUGGAAACUGUUAAACUUGAGUGCAGGAGAGAAAAGUGGAAUUCCUAGUGUAGCGGUGAAAUGCGUAGAGAUUAGGAGGAACACCAGUGGCGAAGGCGGCUUUUUGGCCUGUAACUGACACUGAGGCGCGAAAGCGUGGGGAGCAAACAGG